RNAcentral lists this small RNA (2642 nucleotides) under Pan troglodytes (chimpanzee). Its description in RNAcentral is "retained intron". Lineage: Eukaryota; Metazoa; Chordata; Mammalia; Primates; Hominidae. The record is from RNAcentral.
GGAAUACCCUCCCGGCUAUCGCUUCAGUGGGUAGAGGGGACCACUGCCCGAGAGCUUUAAUGGAGCUGGGUCCUGCCUUCGCGCUGAGGAGCCCUCGUUUUCGAGAUCAGGCCUGACCGGGAUAAGCUCCAGAGAUUCACCAACAAUAGCAAAUUACAGACUGGCUUGGAAAGCACUCCCAUGUUCCGUUUGAUCUUGGCAGUUUAAUGCUGUUCUUGAAGACUAAUUAGUUACACUGGAUAUGCUGCUGUUCUUGAAGUCUAAUUAGUUACACUGGAUAUGCUGCUGUUCUUUACUUUGGGAUUGCUUAUACAUUUUGUGUUCUUCGCCUCCAUCUUUGACAUUUAUUUUACAUCUCCUUUGGUUCAUGGAAUGACUCCUCAGUUUACACCAUUGCCUCCUCCAGCGAGAAGAUUAGUGUUGUUUGUUGCUGAUGGCCUUCGAGCAGAUGCACUUUACGAAUUAGAUGAAAAUGGAACCUCUAGAGCACCGUUUAUUAGGAAUAUCAUAAUGCAUGAAGGCAGCUGGGGCAUAUCUCAUACACGUGUGCCAACAGAAUCUCGGCCAGGUCAUGUAGCUCUGAUAGCUGGGUUUUAUGAAGAUGUCAGUGCAGUUGCCAAAGGAUGGAAGGAAAAUCCUGUAGAGUUUGAUUCUCUUUUUAAUGAAAGUAAAUACACAUGGAGCUGGGGAAGCCCAGAUAUCCUGCCUAUGUUUGCCAAAGGUGCUAGUGGAGACCACGUUUAUACAUAUAGUUAUGAUGCUAAAAGAGAGGAUUUUGGUGCUCAAGAUGCAACAAAACUGGAUACGUGGGUUUUUGAUAAUGUUAAGGACUUCUUUCAUCAUGCCAGAAACAACCAGUCUUUGUUUUCUAAAAUAAAUGAAGAGAAAAUAGUUUUUUUCUUACAUUUAUUAGGAAUAGAUACAAACGGACAUGCUCAUCGACCAUCCUCGAGAGACUACAAGGACAAUAUUAAAAAAGUUGAUGAUGGAGUUAAAGAAAUCGUGUCUAUGUUUAACCAUUUCUAUGGAAAUGAUGGGAAAACAACAUUUAUCUUUACCUCUGACCAUGGAAUGACAGACUGGGGUUCCCAUGGGGCUGGUCAUCCUUCAGAAACUUUAACUCCUUUAGUCACUUGGGGAGCUGGAAUCAAGUAUCCCCAAAGAGUAUCAGCUCAGCAAUUUGAUGAUGCAUUUUUGAAAGAGUGGAGAUUGGAGAACUGGAAGAGGCUAGAUGUCAAUCAGGCUGAUAUUGCACCAUUGAUGACUUCCCUUAUUGGAGUUCCCUUUCCUCUUAACUCAGUGGGAAUCCUUCCUGUGGAUUAUCUUAACAACACUGAUCUCUUCAAAGCAGAGAGCAUGUUUACAAAUGCAGUACAGAUUCUUGAACAGUUCAAGGUGAAAAUGACUCAGAAAAAAGAAGUUACUUUACCAUUUUUGUUUACACCAUUUAAACUGCUUUCUGAUUCCAAACAGUUCAACAUUUUAAGAAAAGCAAGAUCUUAUAUAAAACACAGAAAGUUUGACGAAGUGGUCUCCCUUUGCAAGGAGCUAAUUCAUCUUGCAUUGAAAGGAUUGUCCUAUUAUCACACAUAUGACAGAUUCUUUUUGGGCGUCAAUGUUGUUAUUGGUUUUGUGGGAUGGAUAUCUUAUGCCUCUUUGUUGAUCAUCAAGUCUCAUUCCAACCUUAUAAAAGGUGUUAGUAAAGAAGUGAAGAAACCAAGCCAUCUCCUGCCUUGUAGUUUUGUAGCUAUUGGCAUUUUAGUAGCAUUUUUUCUGCUGAUUCAAGCCUGUCCCUGGAAAUAUUAUGUAUAUGGUUUGUUGCCAGUGCCAAUAUGGUAUGCGGUUCUAAGAGAAUUUCAAGUUAUUCAGGACCUUGUUGCAUCAGUGUUGACCUAUCCUCUGAGCCAUUUUGUUGGGUACCUGUUAGCCUUUACCCUGGGAAUUGAAGUAUUAGUUCUCAGUUUUUUCUACCGCUAUAUGCUUACUGCUGGACUUACUGCCUUUGCAGCUUGGCCAUUUCUCACUCGGCUGUGGACUCGAGCAAAGAUGACCUCACUGAGUUGGACUUUCUUCUCUUUGCUCCUGGCAGUGUUCCCACUGAUGCCGGUUGUAGGUCGAAAGCCAGACAUCUCUCUAGUGUAUGAAUAAUAUUGUAUUUUAUUCUAUUUUCAAUACAGUUUUUUUCCCUCAAUUAACACUGUAAAAUUUGAACCUAAUCUUGGUCAAGAAUAUAAAAUCAUGUGAACUAACGGGAAUUUAAAAUACCAAUAUCAAACCAUUAGUCAUGAUUUUGGCCUAGGUUCUAAGAGUCAUUAAACCUCCUGGUAGAUGCUUUCGGGCUUUCAUAAUGAAAUUGUGCCACUGAUAACUUAAAAUCCUGCCCAUUUUUUUUUUGUUUAAGUCUAGAAGGUUUUCUUUCUUUUAUGCUUGGAGGAAUCAGUAAAAGUUUUAGUUUCAUGUGAAAAAACGUUCUGUUGCCAAAACAAAAAGGUCUCAAAGCUACUGUGUUAGCCCUCUUUGCUUUAAUCAUGUCCACACUAAAAUGUCAUGUAAAAAUUAAAUUUUCUGCUAUUCUAAAUUGAAUGUAAAGAUCUCCAUGGGAGGAAACUCUAUUUACCUUGCCAGCUUUCCCGUGUUUAACC